AAAAAAUCAAUAAAAUAGAUAUAAAUGUAACUUUGACUAUUUGACACCUCACGUGCAAAGCCCGCGAAAGAACCAGAGGUUAUAUAAGCUGCGGUCGUCACAUCACGCGCACAGCCGGACUCUGAGUGGACAUCGCCUGACCGGAGAGCUUUCACGAGCUGCUGCACCCCAAAGGCUCCACAGCACUUGUCACAAGUCUUUGGCUUUAUUUGUCAAGAUCAUCUGAAAAGAGUUCACCUAUGCCAUUGAGCUGGAUGGAAAAACUGAGAAGAUUAUAAACAGAUGGCAUGGAAGAAGAGAGCAGGUCCUACAACAAAGAAAUUCUUCUUAAGGAUAAACAUGAGGUCCUGGGAGAUCUUAGAGGUUCUAAUGUGUUUUUUAUGCAUUUGUUGAUGUCAA
Molecule: long non-coding RNA, 399 nt
Organism: Onychostoma macrolepis
Lineage: Eukaryota; Metazoa; Chordata; Actinopteri; Cypriniformes; Cyprinidae
Exons: 5
Source: RefSeq, a predicted model, not a curated record